GGAAAAGGCAAUACAGAGAAAUUGAUGCCUUGCAAAAACUUGACCCCAGAGAUGAACAAACCAAAGUGUAUCAAAGUAACGUUUUCUUUUACUGAUAAGGGGACAAAAAAUCAAUAAUCUGGAAAUGAGAAGAUACGGCUCAUUAAUAACUCAAACAGAUGAUAUAAGGUUCAAAAUAAGAAGAUAAAAGGGACAUUGACUAGAAAUGUUUAAUCUUCUUCAUCUGCUUCAUUCUCGGCAAUGUUGAAGUAGCGCAACUCAUAAACAUUCCUGUCCUUGUUGGAAGCAAUCACCCUAAGCCAAUCCCUAACGUUGUUUUUCUUCAAGUACUUUUUGACAAGGUAUUUGAGGUACCUCUUGGAAAAAGUGGAGUUGCAAGUGACGGUGAUUUUAUUCUUAUCACGAGUGACAGUAACGGAAUCUCCAAGUGCACCAGCUUUUCCACCAACCUUAAUUCUCUCUUGAAGGAACUUGUCAAGAGAAGCAAUCUCCAUAAUACUGUCCUCCACUGGCUUCGAACAGUCGAUGACGAAGCUUGCCCCCUUCUUCUUCCCGCCCUUCACUGCUGCUGCUGCUCGGCUCAUCUUUACGCUCUUGAUUUCUCUUCUGCUGCUAUUCAAAUAGGGAGAAAUUCGACGGCUG
This 642-nucleotide unclassified non-coding RNA is filed under the name Hevea brasiliensis (rubber tree). Lineage: Eukaryota; Viridiplantae; Streptophyta; Magnoliopsida; Malpighiales; Euphorbiaceae. The record is from RNAcentral.